This 966-nucleotide ribosomal RNA is filed under the name Ralstonia sp. Its description in RNAcentral is "bacterial SSU rRNA". It matches the Rfam family "Bacterial small subunit ribosomal RNA", at positions 86 to 1048 of the family's 1533-position model. Lineage: Bacteria; Pseudomonadati; Pseudomonadota; Betaproteobacteria; Burkholderiales; Burkholderiaceae. The record is from RNAcentral.
UGAUGGCGAGUGGCGAACGGGUGAGUAAUACAUCGGAACGUGCCCUGUAGUGGGGGAUAACUAGUCGAAAGAUUAGCUAAUACCGCAUACGACCUGAGGGUGAAAGUGGGGGACCGCAAGGCCUCAUGCUAUAGGAGCGGCCGAUGUCUGAUUAGCUAGUUGGUGGGGUAAAGGCCCACCAAGGCGACGAUCAGUAGCUGGUCUGAGAGGACGAUCAGCCACACUGGGACUGAGACACGGCCCAGACUCCUACGGGAGGCAGCAGUGGGGAAUUUUGGACAAUGGGCGAAAGCCUGAUCCAGCAAUGCCGCGUGUGUGAAGAAGGCCUUCGGGUUGUAAAGCACUUUUGUCCGGAAAGAAAUCGCACUUACUAAUACUAGGUGUGGAUGACGGUACCGGAAGAAUAAGGACCGGCUAACUACGUGCCAGCAGCCGCGGUAAUACGUAGGGUCCAAGCGUUAAUCGGAAUUACUGGGCGUAAAGCGUGCGCAGGCGGUUGUGCAAGACCGAUGUGAAAUCCCCGAGCUUAACUUGGGAAUUGCAUUGGUGACUGCACGGCUAGAGUGUGUCAGAGGGGGGUAGAAUUCCACGUGUAGCAGUGAAAUGCGUAGAGAUGUGGAGGAAUACCGAUGGCGAAGGCAGCCCCCUGGGAUAACACUGACGCUCAUGCACGAAAGCGUGGGGAGCAAACAGGAUUAGAUACCCUGGUAGUCCACGCCCUAAACGAUGUCAACUAGUUGUUGGGGAUUCAUUUCCUUAGUAACGUAGCUAACGCGUGAAGUUGACCGCCUGGGGAGUACGGUCGCAAGAUUAAAACUCAAAGGAAUUGACGGGGACCCGCACAAGCGGUGGAUGAUGUGGAUUAAUUCGAUGCAACGCGAAAAACCUUACCUACCCUUGACAUGCCACUAACGAAGCAGAGAUGCAUUAGUGCUCGAAAGAGAAAGUGACACAGGUGCUGCAUGG